RNAcentral lists this transfer RNA (69 nucleotides) under Podarcis lilfordi (Lilford's wall lizard). RNAcentral's name for it is "tRNA.Asn". It matches the Rfam family "tRNA". Rfam says of the family: Transfer RNA (tRNA) molecules are approximately 80 nucleotides in length. Their secondary structure includes four short double-helical elements and three loops (D, anti-codon, and T loops). Further hydrogen bonds mediate the characteristic L-shaped molecular structure. tRNAs have two regions of fundamental functional importance: the anti-codon, which is responsible for specific mRNA codon recognition, and the 3' end, to which the tRNAs corresponding amino acid is attached (by aminoacyl-tRNA synthetases). tRNAs cope with the degeneracy of the genetic code in two manners: having more than one tRNA (with a specific anti-codon) for a particular amino acid; and 'wobble' base-pairing, i.e. permitting non-standard base-pairing at the 3rd anti-codon position. Lineage: Eukaryota; Metazoa; Chordata; Lepidosauria; Squamata; Lacertidae. The record is from RNAcentral.
GGUGGUGUAAUGGGUCAGUGCACCUGGCUGUUAACCAGAAGGUUGGUGGUUCGAGCCCAGCCAGGGACA